Molecule: ribosomal RNA, 440 nt
Filed under: uncultured bacterium
Lineage: Bacteria
Description: partial 16S ribosomal RNA
Rfam family: Bacterial small subunit ribosomal RNA
Source: RNAcentral
CCUACGGGUGGCAGCAGUGGGGAAUAUUGCACAAUGGGGGAAACCCUGAUGCAGCGACGCCGCGUGAGUGAAGAAGUAAUUCGUUAUUUAAAGCUCUAUCAGCAGGGAAGAAAAUGACGGUACCUGAGUAAGAAGCCCCGGCUAACUACGUGCCAGCAGCCGCGGUAAUAAGUAGGGGGCAAGCGGUAUCCGGAUUUACUGGGGGUAAAGGGAGCGUAGACGGCAGUGCAAGUCUGGAGUGAAAGGCGGGGGCUCAACCCCCGGACUGCGCUGGAAACUGUACGGCUGGAGUGCAGGAGAGGUAAGUGGAAUUCCUAGUGUAGCGGUGAAAUGCGUAGAUAUUAGGAGGAACACCAGUGGCGAAGGCGGCUUACUGGACUGUAACUGACGUUGAGGCUCGAAAGCGUGGGGAGCAAACAGGAUUAGAUACCCGGGUAGUC